CCCGGGCAUCUUUUUGAGGUACUAAUUUCAUUACAGAUACAGCAACGUACAAAUUGCUUCGUGGGCACAGGGGGCCUGAACUGAGCGGCUUUGAGUAGCCAGAGACUGGUGCACAUAAGGUUCCUGCUGCAGGGCUCUGCUUACAUGUCCCACAAGCGUGGAGCUGACGUGUCUUCCUUUGUGGCUGGUGAAGAACUUUUAGACGUCUGGCACUCGGCUUCUCACACUGCGUAAAGUUACUUCCUGCUGAUCUUCCUAUUCCGACAUAAUUAGAUCACAUCCACAUUAGAAGCCGUUGUGGACAUUUAGUUGUGCCAAAGUCCAGAAUUACAGGCACUGCUUUUGCUUUGGGCCUGAAUCAGUUCCUUAAUUUAGAGCUGUUCAUUGAAGCCACUGGGAGAUUGCCCAGGACUUUGGUGGGACGGGGAUCACAGCCUUCAGAGGGAGUGCCUGGCUUACGAGGGUCAGGUGUCGUGAAGUCAAUUCUUUGUGUUAGGAAAGUUGUAAUUUCCUUUUAAAGCUGGGUGAGUCAUUGAGUCGUGGCUGCGAACAAUCCCACAGGAUUUCCUUAGAUUUGUGAUACCUGAAGGUAAGCUUGGAAUGGCGCCCCUGGAAAAAGUCUUCGUUCAGGGACCUGAUCCAUCUCAUUUUGAAGUCAGUGACUAAACUUUUGUUUACUACUGUGAUGCAGAUCAAGACAGUUGCAUAAUCAUGGGGGCCUGAUCCUGCAUCAGGCUCCAGUAAAACAGUUAAAGGGCUACCAGAAAAGACUCUGUUGACAGGUGGAAUACGUAGUCAUAAAGAAUUCAUAAAGCUCGACGACCUCAUUUCACAGCAAAGAGGAUACAGAAGCCCUUUGUUUCUGUAGAUUUUUAUAAAAGCAGUUUUGCUCCUCGAAAUUACGCAUUAAAAUUAAUUUGCUGUAGCUUUAGGUAUAAUUCUGGCCACACUGAGUGAAAGAGGGAAAAUUUCAUCCACUUGGAUAGUCCUUUAUCUGGGAGUUAAGCUUCCCUGCUGCAAGGAGAAGGACAUAUCGCUGCAGUCAAUCACGGAUGAGUGAGCUUUUAGAUAAGGCCUUUCCUAUAAUACACCCACAACACUUCAUUUUCCUCUUGCAGCACCGGGACUGACCUCCCCACUUGGAUGAGUGUCAUGGAUGCAGAGAUAGGGACCGUGCCGUGCUGCUUGGCUGACACGCAUUUCGGAGCAACACAUUCCAGCAGAUGAACCCAUUUGCACACAUUUUCAAACACCCUGGAGAUGAUUUGCUCUUCGAUUGCUCCUGACGUCAGGCUGUGAGUCAUGGACCACUCCAUGUGUGGUGAAGGACAUCCCCGACCUGUGGCACUGGGGCAGCUUGGUGAAGACCCAAAAGAAAAAGAGCCUGACUGUAGAACUGGACCCUUAAAACCAACUGAUUUCUUUGAAGGGACUUAUUCGGAAGAAAGUUAAUAAAAACUGCAUGGAAAAACCAGCAUCACAGCUAUUUUUUUUUUUCUGCCUGAAAUUCCUACAGGGAAGUUAGCUGAAUGCAAAAAGUAUGGAGAAAGAGAGAAACAUUCCAUUGGUCCUUAAAGCCCAAAGGAGUGAUUCCUUCAGUGCUGCCAUUCCAGUGGAGAUUGCAGCAAGGUCUCCUUCCAUACCAGUUGCUGCCCUGGUGUAGAUCCUCUGGCACCGAUUCCUGUCCCUGGGAGUUGCCCCAGCUUGAUGCCUGCAGGGAUGAGGUAAGAACUGCACUUCAGUCCUGUGCUUGCUCACUGGGCUGCCAAACAUGCACACUUCACUGGGCUCUGGAGAACACUGCUGUUGUGGGAAUGUGAUCCACCUGACUAGGUAGGCCAGCAGCUGUGGGAUUGUCCAUCUGCUGGUCCUCCAGAUUAAACAUUAGCCCUCAUGUCUCCUCUACAGCAAGGAAUUUUCUCCAAAUAAGCUUCGUAAAGAACAUUUCUUCCUUCUCUUCUACACCAGCAAUACUGUGAGACAGGUGAUCCAGGUGGGCAGGGGGGGAACUUAAGCACACAACUAUCAAAAAAUAGAGCUUAUUCUUUGGGUGGAUUUUUAAAUGUAGUUGCUCUUCAGUGGUGAAUGAAACAAAGCACACAGUUACAGCAAGAUGACUACACAGUGUUAGAAGGGGAAUCCUGUCACAUCUACAGGGUGAAGGCUUCUGGGCUGUGAGCUGGUGAGAUCUCCCCAGGAGGCAAAUGCUUCGCAGAGAACCUCUUCCACGAGAAAUCUUUUAGCUUCUUAUGGCUUUGUUGCUACUUCUGCUCUACACUGACCAUAAAUAUUUAUUUAUCAAUGCUGCUAGAAUUUUUAAUUUCUGUAGAUGGGGAUGUUUGAGCUGACUGGGGGGGGGGGGGGGGGUUGUGUUCCAGCUGACAUAGAGAGAAAUAUUUGAAAUAGAUUUAAGAAAUAGACUCAUUGUUAAUUUGUUUCUUUAGGGCUCCAUUUUCCUCAUGCAAGUUAUUCGUAGCUCCCACUGAAGCCAAUAAUUUCCUAGUCCUUCAAGGCAGGAAAGGCACUGAAGUCAAUAGGGAUUAGUUGUAUCCUGCAGUGGGGGAAUAAGCCUCCUGGGAAACUGUGGAUCUCCUGUUUGCCAUAAGCAAUCCAUAACUGCAUUGUCAGUAGUAAGUCAUUCCAGGAUUUGUAGGAAUCACUGUUAUUAUUUAAGUGUACCUGUGCUUUCAUUCUCACUUCUUUCUGAUAUAAAAGUAACUGAUGCAAGUUAUGAAAUUGCCUUAAUAUAUAGAUUUCUGCUGACACUCAGUUUAUGGCUUAUCUUUAAUUGCCUCUAUUAAAGCACUUGUUGCCCUGAGAUUCAGUGCUGUGUCCAGGCCUGCUGCACAUCUCCUCUCCUCAGAAUUUCACCCAUUGCUCGUGAGAAUUUCAACUUCUGGAUAAAUAAAUAUUUUGGGUCAGGUCUUAAAAACACAGAAGUCCUUAUUCAUAUGUUGUUUUUGGAACGUGCCCAUGUCUUAGUGGAACUCUCAUACCACAAUAGCUGAUGGAAGAAAUAGAGAAAUGUAACUUCAUGUCUCAGCUUCGAGGGUCAGAGGGGAGGGGAGGGGAUGGGAGAAGGAGUCGACAGAUCCAGUGACUGAGCUUUUCUCUGCAGGGGAAUAAAAAGGGUUUAGCAGUGACAGAAAGUAGAACAAGCACAGUGUCAAAUGCAUCUUCCAAAGAGAGCGAAAAAUCAGAUCAGGCUAAAACAAACUUAUGUGGCAGCUCAGGGGGAGCUGCAACUAGCUGAACUCCCCCCCUCCUGUCCCUCUUGGCCUUUUGUUCUAGGAACAGAUGUCCCUUCUCCCCCAACUGUCUUCUAGUUUCAGAAUUAAGAACUUGGGCUCUGAACUUUUAAUUCGUGAUUGCCUUCGUAAGCUUCUCUAUUCCUGGAUUUUGAGAUUCUUUGUUAUUCUUCUAAUUAUCAAUCCCUUCCUGUAUUGCUUGUGUAAAAGAAUAAAAAAAGACUGGGCUUUGCUGA
Molecule: long non-coding RNA, 3484 nt
Organism: Pseudopipra pipra
Lineage: Eukaryota; Metazoa; Chordata; Aves; Passeriformes; Pipridae
Exons: 4
Source: RefSeq, a predicted model, not a curated record